ACGCUCAACAAGCCCAUGGGCUCAGGCGUGGAGGACGCUCAGGGCAUCCUCAGCAGCUACGAGGAGGUGCUGCAGAAGCUGCGCGAGUUCCGCAACCAGCUGGAGUCGCUGCAGGACCAGACGGUGGGCAGCAUCACCGACCUCAACGACCUGAUCCGACAGCAGGACGAGCUGGUGCGGGCCAUCGAGAACCAGGUCUCCAAGCUGCGCAACCUGGUGCUUCUGCGGCAGCA
This is a long non-coding RNA of Pollicipes pollicipes, 233 nucleotides long. RefSeq lists it as uncharacterized. The transcript is spliced from 3 exons. NCBI's taxonomy places the organism in Eukaryota, Metazoa, Arthropoda, Thecostraca, Pollicipedomorpha, Pollicipedidae. The record is from RefSeq and is a predicted model, not a curated record.